UUAAGUUCAGCGGGUAAUCCUACCUGAUUUGAGGUCUAAAUCAAAGAUGACUAGAGGGAUUAGAAGCUUCUCUUGUAUUGAUCACGGCCACCAAGUAUUGCUACAAAGUGUCCUCAGCGAAUAGUCUAUUACACUGAGUCAAUCCGAGUUCGAAUUAAAGAUGCUAAUGUAUUACGAACGAGCUACGCCAACAAGGGCCA
This 200-nucleotide unclassified non-coding RNA is filed under the name Oberwinklerozyma sp. RNAcentral's name for it is "partial internal transcribed spacer 2". Lineage: Eukaryota; Fungi; Basidiomycota; Microbotryomycetes; Chrysozymaceae. The record is from RNAcentral.